AAGGUAGCGAAAUUCCUUGUCGGGUAAGUUCCGACCCGCACGAAUGGUGUAACGAUCUGGGCACUGUCUCAACUACCCACCCGGCGAAAUUGUAGUACCGGUGAAGAUGCCGGUUACCUGCGGCAAGACGGAAAGACCCCAUGGAGCUUUACUGUAGCCUGAUAUUGGGUUUCGGAAAUCUAUGUACAGGAUAGGCGGGAGACUGGGAAGUAUGAGCGUCAGCUUAUACGGAGUCAUUGUUGGGAUACCGCCCUUAGGUUUCUGGAAUUCUAACCUGCGACCGUGAAUCCGGUCGGGGGACAUUGUCAGGUGGGCAGUUUGACUGGGGCGGUCGCCUCCGAAAAGGUAACGGAGGCGCUCAAAGGUUGGCUCAGCACGGACGGAAACCGUGCCUCAGAGUGUAAACGCAAAAGCCAGCCUAACUGCGAGGAUGACGGUCCGAGCAGUAACGAAAGUUGGAGUUAGUGAUCCGGCGGUAUGUGAAUGGAAAUGCCGUCGCUCAACGGAUAAAAGCUACCCUGGGGAUAACAGGCUGAUCUCCCCCAAGAGUCCACAUCGACGGGGAGGUUUGGCACCUCGAUGUCGGCUCAUCGCAUCCUGGGGCUGUAUUCGGUCCCAAGGGUUUGGCUGUUCGCCAAUUAAAGCGGUACGCGAGCUGGGUUCAGAACGUCGUGAGACAGUUCGGUCCCUAUCUGUCGUGGGCGUAGGAUAUUUGCAAGGAGCUGUCCCUAGUACGAGAGGACCGGGAUGGACGCACCUCUGGUGCACCAGUUGUCACGCCAGUGGCACAGCUGGGCAGCUAUGUGCGGAACGGAUAAACGCUGAAGGCAUCUAAGCGUGAAGCCGCCCUUAAGAUAAGAUAUCCCUUCUGUUUACAGAGUAAGACCCCUUGAAGACUACAAGGUUGAUAGGCUCAAAGUGUAAGCACGGUGACGUGUUUAGCUAGCGAGUACUAAUCGGUCGAGGGCUUAACCU
Molecule: ribosomal RNA, 975 nt
Filed under: metagenome
Description: bacterial LSU rRNA
Rfam family: Bacterial large subunit ribosomal RNA
Source: RNAcentral